GGAUCAUUACCUGAUAGAAGCCUCCCGGGGCACUAUCCCACCCGUGUUUAAAUACUAUCGUUGCUUUGGCGGGCCGUGGCCUCCACUACGGGUUCCUACUCGUAUGUGCCCGCCAGAGGAUCAAACUCUGAAUUUUGUGAUGUCUGAGUACUAUAUAAUAGUAAAAACUUUCAACAACGGAUCUCUUGGUUCUGGCAUCGAUGAAGAACGCAGCGAAAUGCGAUAAGUAAUGUGAAUUGCAGAAUUCAGUGAAUCAUCGAAUCUUUGAACGCACAUUGCGCCCCGUGGUAUUCCGCGGGGCAUGCCUGUUCGAGCGUCAUUAUAACCAAUCAAGCCUGGCUUGGUAUUGGAGCUCGCGCUCUUGCGGCUCUCAAACAAAAUAGCAGUCUAAAUGGACCCUAAGUGUAGUAAAUCUCCUCACUUCUGGGCUCUAUGGGAGCUUGCUCAACUCUACUUUUAAGGUUGACCUC
RNAcentral lists this ribosomal RNA (470 nucleotides) under fungal sp. EXP0567F. Its description in RNAcentral is "eukaryotic LSU rRNA". The stretch from base 166 to 319 matches the Rfam family "5.8S ribosomal RNA". Lineage: Eukaryota; Fungi. The record is from RNAcentral.